GAUCCUGGCUCAGGAUGAACGCUAGCUACAGGCUUAACACAUGCAAGUCGAGGGGGCAGCAUGAACUUAGCUUGCUAAGUUUGAUGGCGACCGGCGCACGGGUGAGUAACACGUAUCCAACCUUCCGUUUACUCAGGGAUAGCCUUUCGAAAGAAAGAUUAAUACCUGAUAGUAUGGUGAGAUUGCAUGAUAGCACCAUUAAAGAUUAUUGGUAACGAUGGGGAGUGCGUUCCAUUAGGUAG
Molecule: ribosomal RNA, 242 nt
Filed under: uncultured bacterium
Lineage: Bacteria
Description: partial 16S ribosomal RNA
Rfam family: Bacterial small subunit ribosomal RNA
Source: RNAcentral